CCAGACUCCUACGGGAGGCAGCAGUGGGGGAUAUUGCACAAUGGGGGGAACCCUGAUGCAGCGACGCCGCGUGGGUGAAGGAGCGUUUCGGCGCGUAAAGCCCUAUCGGCAGGGAAGAAGGAGGACGGUACCUGACUAAGAAGCCCCGGCUAACUACGUGCCAGCAGCCGCGGUAAUACGUAGGGGGCAAGCGUUAUCCGGAUUUACUGGGUGUAAAGGGGGCGCAGACGGCAGCGCAAGCCAGGAGUGAAAGCCCGCGGCCCAACCGCGGAACUGCUUUGGGAACUGUUUUGCUGGAGUAUGGGAGGGGUAAGCGGAAUUCCUGGUGUAGCGGUGAAAUGCGUAGAUAUCAGGAGGAACACCGGUGGCGAAGGCGGCUUACUGGACCAUAACUGACGUUGAGGCUCGAAAGCGUGGGGAGCGAACAGGAUUAGAUACCCGCGUAA
RNAcentral lists this ribosomal RNA (446 nucleotides) under uncultured bacterium. Its description in RNAcentral is "bacterial SSU rRNA". It matches the Rfam family "Bacterial small subunit ribosomal RNA", at positions 331 to 793 of the family's 1533-position model. The record is from RNAcentral.